AAUAAGUGUAGUUUUAGCAAUGUUCAUAUCUAACGUUUGACCGUUUGUCUUAUUUGAAAAAAAAUUAUGAUUAGUAUUUUUAUUGUUAUUACAUGAUAAAACAUGAGUAGUACUUUAUGUGUGACUAUUUUUUUAACUUUUUCAUAAGUUUUUCAAAUAAGACGAACGGUUAAAACGCUAAACACGGAUAUCUAUGGCUCCACUUAUU
Molecule: non-coding RNA, 208 nt
Organism: Oryza glumipatula
Lineage: Eukaryota; Viridiplantae; Streptophyta; Magnoliopsida; Poales; Poaceae
Source: Rfam